UAGUUGCAACUGCCAUGCAUCUUUUACAUUAUUAGAGUUAACUUCAAGAGAAAAAAGUCUUAGAAGAUGAUCUUGGUUCUUGUUUUUUGAGUUUAUAGUAUCUAGUAUACAUGAAUCUUAAAUCAAAAUGCUGGUCCAAACAUGACUAGUGGUUUUUGUCCCCUUUCAUGUGUUGAAUGUUUGGAUAGCUUCCUUUUGGCGUAAUCUCUAUUUUACUUUCACUAGUUCUGAAUGAGGAUAUCCUCCCCAAUCCUUAUGGGGUGUAAGGCCAUAACAUGAGUGCCAAUUUUCUAGAAGAUAGUUUGCAAUGAUAACUUUUGGCUAGAGGAAUCCUACAUCAUCUUUCGUAUGUCAUGGAUAUAAUGGAUGCAUCUGGUGUGGCACUUGUAUUGAUUGGACCUGGGAGCAUUGAUCGGGCCAAAUCCUUUUCUGAGAAAUCAAAAUUUGAAGGAGGACCUUGUUAUCUCUUCUAGAAAUCUAUGCAGACCCCACUCACUUGUCAUACGAGGCCUUAAAUUUUGUUUCUGGAGUUUUAACCACAUUUACCCCCAAUGCAGGUCUUAAGAUAAUACAGCUAUAUCUGGAAGGUUAUCGACAACAUUGGAAGCUUUCAUUUGAAAAGGAUACAGUUAGCAGAGGAGGCUGGAAACAAGGAGGAACUAUAGUUGCAGGCCCCGGUAAAAAUAACAUCUCAUACCUUCACAACCCCCUCUAAUAUGCCACAUCCUUUAUAUAAUAUAUUUUCCUUGGUACAUGUUAGCAGCAAUUAGCCAAUUAGUUGUCAGUCAGCAUAAAAUUCAUGGCCUAUAAAUGUUUUCCUGAUUUCAUUAUGUGAAAUAUGUUCAUGAGAGCAGGACAAAGAAGCAGGGGAUGACCCAGAAAUUGAAGAUAUCUUCAAAGCAUGUUGCUCGUGAAGAAAGAAGAGAAGGAUCCCCUCUUUCCUGCUUUAUUUAUCCUGCUACGUGAAAUGGUAUUCGCAUCACACGGCAUUGUACAUCAUAUUUAAGAUGCUUCUUAUGCUGAACAGUGGCUUUUCUGAGUUUCAGUUAAAAGAUAUAAUGUUAUUACCUGCCAUUUAUCUGAUGACAACUCACAAUUUGGAACCUAUUACUAUGAGGCUCUUAAUUUAAGAUUCUAUUGAUUAUUUCAGGAUCUUGUACACAAUAUUUUUCUUUCCAUUUCAAGAGAAGGUGGUUUCUUCUA
Molecule: RNA transcript, 1203 nt
Organism: Glycine soja
Lineage: Eukaryota; Viridiplantae; Streptophyta; Magnoliopsida; Fabales; Fabaceae
Gene name: thioredoxin-like protein AAED1, chloroplastic
Exons: 6
Source: RefSeq, a predicted model, not a curated record